GGCGUAAGGGCUCGCAGGCGGUUUCUUAAGUCUGAUGUGAAAGCCCCCGGCUCAACCGGGGAGGGUCAUUGGAAACUGGGGAACUUGAGUGCAGAAGAGGAGAGUGGAAUUCCACGUGUAGCGGUGAAAUGCGUAGAGAUGUGGAGGAACACCAGUGGCGAAGGCGACUCUCUGGUCUGUAACUGACGCUGAGGAGCGAAAGCGUGGGGAGCGAACAGGAUUAGAUACCCUGGUAGUCCACGCCGUAAACGAUGAGUGCUAAGUGUUAGGGGGUUUCCGCCCCUUAGUGCUGCAGCUAACGCAUUAAGCACUCCGCCUGGGGAGUACGGUCGCAAGACUGAAACUCAAAGGAAUUGACGGGGGCCCGCACAAGCGGUGGAGCAUGUGGUUUAAUUCGAAGCAACGCGAAGAACCUUACCAGGUCUUGACAUCCUCUGAGGAUCCUAGAGAUAGGACGUCCCCUUCGGGGGCACAGUGACAGGUGGUGCAUGGUUGUCG
RNAcentral lists this ribosomal RNA (498 nucleotides) under Bacillus subtilis. RNAcentral describes it as "bacterial SSU rRNA". It matches the Rfam family "Bacterial small subunit ribosomal RNA", at positions 557 to 1054 of the family's 1533-position model. Lineage: Bacteria; Bacillati; Bacillota; Bacilli; Caryophanales; Bacillaceae. The record is from RNAcentral.